UCCNGGCCCUACGGGGCGCAGCAGGCGCGAAACCUCUGCAAUGCGGGAAACCGUGACAGGGGGAUCCCAAGUGCUCAUGCAUUGCAUGGGCUGUUCUUUGGUCUAAGUAACCAGAGGAGUAAGGGCUGGGCAAGACCGGUGCCAGCCGCCGCGGUAAUACCGGCAGCUCGAGUGGUAGCCGCGAUUAUUGGGCCUAAAGCGUUCGUAGCCGGAUAAGUAAGUCUUUGGUUAAAUCCUGCGACUUAACCGUGGGAAAUCUAGAGAUACUGCUUGUCUUGAGACCGGGAGAGGUUGGAGGUACUCCUAGGGUAGGGGUGAAAUCCUGUAAUCCUAGGGGGACCACCUGUGGCGAAGGCGUCCAACUGGAACGAGUCUGACGGUGAGGGACGAAACCUAGGGGAGCGAGCCGGAUUAGAUACCCGGGUAGUCCUAGGCGUAAAUGAUGCGAGUUAAGUGUGGGGGCAUCUACGAGAUGGCCCUGUGCUGUAGGGUAGCCGUUAAACUCGCCGCCUGGGGAGUACGGUCGCAAGGCUGAAACUUAAAGGAAUUGGCGGGGGAGCACCACAAGAGGUGGAGGCUGCGGUUCAAUUGGAUUCAACGCCGGG
RNAcentral lists this ribosomal RNA (605 nucleotides) under uncultured euryarchaeote. Its description in RNAcentral is "bacterial SSU rRNA". It matches the Rfam family "Archaeal small subunit ribosomal RNA", at positions 315 to 922 of the family's 1478-position model. The record is from RNAcentral. Lineage: Archaea; Methanobacteriati; Methanobacteriota.